CCCUUCGUGGUGUAACGGUAGCACACUCGACGUGUAUUCGAGAGGUCCAGGUUCGAAUCCCGGCGAGAGAA
Molecule: transfer RNA, 71 nt
Filed under: Stegodyphus mimosarum
Lineage: Eukaryota; Metazoa; Arthropoda; Arachnida; Araneae; Eresidae
Rfam family: tRNA
About the family: Transfer RNA (tRNA) molecules are approximately 80 nucleotides in length. Their secondary structure includes four short double-helical elements and three loops (D, anti-codon, and T loops).
Source: Rfam by way of RNAcentral